This 356-nucleotide unclassified non-coding RNA is filed under the name Hevea brasiliensis (rubber tree). Lineage: Eukaryota; Viridiplantae; Streptophyta; Magnoliopsida; Malpighiales; Euphorbiaceae. The record is from RNAcentral.
AGAGAGAGAGAGAGAGAAAAAGGGAUUGGAGAGAGAAAGCACAGACUCCAUUACUCUAUCAGGCGUCUCAAAUAUCAAAUCUCGUCUUCCUCGCUUAGAUUAGUGUAUUGUCUUCACUCGAUCGAGCUUUGCCGGUCUUUUUAGAACAUUCUGUAACAGUAUCUGUAGAACGUUUCCUUAUUGGUUUUCUUGUAAAGUGUACAGAAUCCUUUUCCCCACCCCCAAAAAAGAAAACCCCGUUUCGAUGGAGCUGUACGGUCGGAACCAAGCAAUGAAUGGCUCACAAUCGGGUCAGCAACUCGAAUGGAGCCCCGCGGGAGGCGAAACCGGCCUAGAAGAAUCGAUGUGGCGAUUGG